GCGGCGAGUGAAGCGGCAAAAGCUCAAAUUUGAAAUCUGGCUCUUUCAGAGUCCGAGUUGUAAUUUGAAGAAGGUAUCUUUGGGUCUGGCUCUUGUCUAUGUUUCUUGGAACAGAACGUCACAGAGGGUGAGAAUCCCGUGCGAUGAGAUGAUCCAGGCCUAUGUAAAGUUCCUUCGAAGAGUCGGUUGUUUGGGAAUGCAGCUCUAAGUGGGUGGUAAAUUCCAUCUAAAGCUAAAUAUUGGCGAGAGACCGAUAGCGAACAAGUACAGUGAUGGAAAGAUGAAAAGAACUUUGAAAAGAGAGUGAAAAAGUACGUGAAAUUGUUGAAAGGGAAGGGCUUGAGAUCAGACUUGGUAUUUUGUAUGUUACUUCUUCGGGGGUGGCCUCUACAGUUUAUCGGGCCAGCAUCAGUUUGGGCGGUAGGAGAAUUGCGUUGGAAUGUGGCACGGCUUCGGUUGUGUGUUAUAGCCUUCGUCGAUACUGCCAGCCUAGACUGAGGACUGCGGUUUAUACCUAGGAUGUUGGCAUAAUGAUCUUAAGUCGC
Molecule: ribosomal RNA, 545 nt
Filed under: Candida tropicalis
Lineage: Eukaryota; Fungi; Ascomycota; Pichiomycetes; Serinales; Debaryomycetaceae
Description: partial large subunit ribosomal RNA
Rfam family: Eukaryotic large subunit ribosomal RNA
Source: RNAcentral